This 76-nucleotide transfer RNA is filed under the name Actinomycetota bacterium. RNAcentral's name for it is "Actinobacteria bacterium tRNA-Glu". It matches the Rfam family "tRNA". From Rfam's summary of the family: Transfer RNA (tRNA) molecules are approximately 80 nucleotides in length. The record is from RNAcentral. Lineage: Bacteria; Bacillati; Actinomycetota.
GGCCCCGUCGUCUAGUGGUCUAGGACACCACCCUUUCAAGGUGGGUACGCCGGUUCGAACCCGGUCGGGGCUACCA